UGGGGAAUAUUGGACAAUGGGCGCAAGCCUGAUCCAGCCAUGCCGCGUGAGUGAUGAAGGCUCUAGGGUUGUAAAGCUCUUUCACCGGUGAAGAUAAUGACGGUAACCGGAGAAGAAGCCCCGGCUAACUUCGUGCCAGCAGCUGCGUUAAUACGAAGGGGGCUAGCGUUGUUCGGAUUUACUGGGCGUAAAGCGCACGUAGGCGGUCUAUUAAGUCAGGGGUGAAAUCCCGGGGCUCAACCCCGGAACUGCCUUUGAUACUGGUAGUCUUGGAUUCGAGAGAGGUGAGUGGAAUUCAGAGUGUAAGGGUGAAAUUCGUAGAUAUUCGGAGGAAAACCAGUGACAGAAGCGGCUCACUGGCUCGAUACUGACGCUGGGGUGAGAAAGGGUGGGGAGCAAACAGG
RNAcentral lists this ribosomal RNA (404 nucleotides) under Actinomycetes bacterium. Its description in RNAcentral is "Actinobacteria bacterium partial 16S ribosomal RNA". It matches the Rfam family "Bacterial small subunit ribosomal RNA", at positions 355 to 776 of the family's 1533-position model. Lineage: Bacteria; Bacillati; Actinomycetota; Actinomycetes. The record is from RNAcentral.